UGUCUUCACUCCCCCAACAUAUAACCCUUCUUCAUCAAAAAUAUCUACUGACUCUGUCUCUCACCAUUCUCUUCAUCUUCCCAUCUGACUGGCUUUCUUGAUCCUUUUCUUUUUCUACACAUACGAUGAGAUAUAUAUAGAGAGAUAUGGAGCAGAACCCCAUCGCCCACCGCUUCACCACCCGACAACGGCGAUGAGUGAACUCCACCGCUUCACAGUCCUACCAACCAACGACGACGCUGAGUAGAAUAGUCGGUUCUCUGGCGGCUAGGGUUCCGUUGGAAACCCGACAAAGGAGGUGAUCGGAGGUUGUCGGCUCUGCCGCGUGCUCUUGUCCUGGUUCUUCAAUUUUUGGUCCAUCACACAUAUGUAGCUGCUAGAUCUUAUGGUGCUUUUAAAAGGUCCCAAGCAUGGAAAACCAUCCAACGUAUUGAGAAUGAGGCAGGUACUCAUAAAACUCAAGCACCACAGCCCUCUUCAACUUAAAUAUUAGACACUGCCGCCUGCUGAUAUGGAUGUCAAGGCCGAUGCAGCUAAAGCUCCUAUUGCUGUUGCUUAAGUGUGUUAAUGGUGUUUCUGUCACCUCUCGGUUUUGUCAAUAUAUAAUAGUUCAUUGAGGGAGGAUUUCGAGUUUUAGACGUGAAUGUAACUAUGACAUUUUUUUGGAUCCAAAGAAAUUGUUGAUGUGACUUCGUUUAA
Helianthus annuus (common sunflower) is the source of this 699-nucleotide long non-coding RNA. RefSeq lists it as uncharacterized. The record is from RefSeq and is a predicted model, not a curated record. Lineage: Eukaryota; Viridiplantae; Streptophyta; Magnoliopsida; Asterales; Asteraceae. The transcript has 2 exons.